This 469-nucleotide ribosomal RNA is filed under the name Streptococcus mutans. RNAcentral's name for it is "bacterial SSU rRNA". It matches the Rfam family "Bacterial small subunit ribosomal RNA", at positions 28 to 471 of the family's 1533-position model. Lineage: Bacteria; Bacillati; Bacillota; Bacilli; Lactobacillales; Streptococcaceae. The record is from RNAcentral.
GACGAACGCUGGCGGCGUGCCUAAUACAUGCAAGUGGGACGCAAGGGAACACACUGUGCUUGCACACCGUGUUCUCUUGAGUCGCGAACGGGUGAGUAACGCGUAGGUAACCUGCCUAUUAGCGGGGGAUAACUAUUGGAAACGAUAGCUAAUACCGCAUAAUAUUAAUUAUUGCAUGAUAAUUGAUUGAAAGAUGCAAGCGCAUCACUAGUAGAUGGACCUGCGUUGUAUUAGCUAGUUGGUAAGGUAAGAGCUUACCAAGGCGACGAUACAUAGCCGACCUGAGAGGGUGAUCGGCCACACUGGGACUGAGACACGGCCCAGACUCCUACGGGAGGCAGCAGUAGGGAAUCUUCGGCAAUGGACGAAAGUCUGACCGAGCAACGCCGCGUGAGUGAAGAAGGUUUUCGGAUCGUAAAGCUCUGUUGUAAGUCAAGAACGUGUGUGAGAGUGGAAAGUUCACACAGUG